GAAAUGCGAUAAGUAAUGUGAAUUGCAGAAUUCAGUGAAUCAUCGAAUCUUUGAACGCACAUUGCGCCCGCCAGCACUCUGGCGGGCAUGCCUGUUCGAGCGUCAUUUCAACCAUCAAGCCCCCGGGCUUGCGUUGGGGACCUGCGGCUGCCCGCAGGCCCUGAAAACCAGUUGCGGACUCGCUGUCACCCCGGUCGUAGUAGUAUCAGCUCCUCCAAGGCCUGGCUGCGGACUCCGGCCGUUAAGCCUUCUCAAACCCAAACGUUGACCUCGAAUCAGGUAGGAAUACCCGCUGAACUUAA
Molecule: unclassified non-coding RNA, 302 nt
Filed under: uncultured Sordariomycetes
Lineage: Eukaryota; Fungi; Ascomycota; Sordariomycetes
Description: sequence contains ITS1
Rfam family: 5.8S ribosomal RNA (bases 1-105)
Source: RNAcentral